CGGGAGUAUUCUAGAGUAUCGAUUUUCCACAGGGAACGUGAGUGUACUAAUUAAGAUCCAAGAUCGCCCAAGGAUAACUAUAUAAUUAUUUUUGGUGGGAAGAGAGGAAGUUUCCUGAGAGUUCUCUAGUUGAUCUAAGAAUCAAGAAUUACUUCAAGAUUAUCUAUAUCGGGACAUCAGAGCACUAACCACAGAAAGAGAUGAGAAGGGGGCUAGGAAGGUCUGACUACGGUCCAACAAACAC
This 244-nucleotide long non-coding RNA is filed under the name Sorghum bicolor (sorghum). RNAcentral's name for it is "long non-coding RNA (SBIC_LNC004481)". Lineage: Eukaryota; Viridiplantae; Streptophyta; Magnoliopsida; Poales; Poaceae. The record is from RNAcentral.